GGGAGUAGCUUCGGCGCCAAUCCUAGAUUCGAUAGGUUCUGCCAUUAAACUGAAUAUCCAAAUGUGCAUAAAUCCUGAAUCCUAGGCUAUUCUGGCCAAUCAGCAAGAGAAAGAUUUGAGAUUUAAGAAAUUUGCAGCAACAAGAAUUGACUGAUGGCAACUACUAUUUCUUAAUAAGAGUAUUUUACUUAUGUUCUCUGGUUCUUGAGAUUCAAAAUGUAUUUUGAGAAGCAGCAACAGGAGAACAUCUGGAGAGAGAAGGAGAUUCUCUCUUAGAAGGGAAAUCAAAGAGGAAACAAACAAAUGGAAGAACAUUCCAUGCUCAUGGAUAGGAAGAAUCAAUAUUGUGAAAAUGGCCAUACUGCCCAAGGUAAUUUAUAGAUUAAAUGCCGUCCCCAUCAAGCUACCAAUGACUUUCUUCACAAAAUUGGAAAAAACUACUUUAAAGUUGAUAUGGAACCAAAAAAGAGCCUGCACUGCCAAGACGAUCCUAAGGCAAGAGAACAAUGCUGGAGGCAUCAUGCUACCUGACUUCAAACUAUACUACAAGGCUACAGUAACCAAAACAGCAUGGUACUGGUACCAAAACAGAGAUAUAAACCAAUGGAACAGAACAGAGGCCUCAGAAAUAACACCACACAUCUACAACUAUCUGAUCUUUGACAAACCUGACAAAAACAAGAAAUGGGGAAAGGAUUCCCUAUUUAAUAAAUGGUGCUGGGAAAACUGGCUAGCCAUCUGUAGAAAGCUGAAACUGGAUCCCUUCCUUACACCUUAUACAAAAAUUAAUUCAAGAUGGAUUAAAGACUUAAAUGUUAGACCUAAAACCAUAAAAACCCUAGAAGAAAACCUAGGCAAUACCAUUCAGGACAUAGGCAUGGACAAGAACUUCAUGACUAAAACACCAAAAGCAAUGGCAACAAAAGCCAAAAUUGACAAAUGGGAUCUAAUUAAACUAAAGAGCUUCUGCACAGCAAAAGAAACUAUCAUCAGAGUGAACAGGCAACCUACAGAAUGGGAGAGAAUUUUUACAAUCUACCCAUCUGACAAAGGGCUAAUAUCCAGAAUCUACAAAGAGCUUAAACAAAUUUACAAGAAAAAAAUCAAACAACCCCAUCAAAAAGUGGGCAAAGGAUAUGAACAGACACUUCUCAAAAGAAGACAUUUAUGUAGCCAACAGACACAUGAAAAAAUGCUCAUCAUCACUGGCCAUCAGAGAAAUGCAAAUCAAAACCACAAUGAGGUACCAUCUCACACCAGUUAGAAUGGCAAUCAUUUAAAAGUCGGGAAACAACAGGUGCUGGAGAGGAUGUGGAGAAAUAGGAACACUUUUACACUGUUGGUGGGACUGUAAACUAGUUCAACCAUUGUGGAAGUCAGUGUGGUGAUUCCUCAGGGAUCUAGAACUAGAAAUACCAUUUGACCCAGCCAUCCCAUUACUGGUUAUAUACCCAAAGUAUAAUAAAACAUGCUGCUAUAAAGACACAUGCACACGUAUGUUUAUGGUGGCACUAUUCACAAUAGCAAAGACUUGGAACCAACUAUGAUAGACUGGAUUAAGAAAAUGUGGCACAUAUACACCAUGGAAUACUAUGCAGCCAUAAAAAAUGAUGAGUUCAUGUCCUUUGUAGGGACAUGGAUGAAGUUGGAAACCAUCAUUCUGAGCAAACUAUCGCAAGGACAGAAAACCAAACACCACAUGGUCUCACUCAUAGGUGGGAAUUGAACAAUGAGAACACUUGGACACAGGGUGGGGAACAUCACACACCGGGGCCUGUCGUGGGUUAGGGGUAGGGGGAGGGAUAGCAUUAGGAGAUAUACCUAAUGUAAAUGACGAGUUAAUGGGUGUAGCACACCAACAUGGCACAUGUAUACACAUGUAACAAAGCUGCAUGUUGUGCACAUGUACCCUAGAACUUAAAGUAUAAUUUUAAAAAAAAAGAAGGGGAAUAAAAAACAAAAAUAAAAGAAUACAUUUUUCUGACAUUUCAAGGAAUGGGAUCUCUAGGUAGGAGGAGACAACUGACCACCCCACCCCAACUCUGUGUCCUUGGGGUUCACCUUCCCAUUGAUGCCCCCAUUCUGAAUCCUCAGGGGUCUACAAUAAAACUCCAACCAAAAUAGGAAGAAAACCCCUUUCCUUGGUUUCCUUUGGCAUGGCUUAGGCAGGAUAGAACCUUCAGUACAACUCUACUAUAGGAAGGGACGAGGAGAAAGGGAAAUAAAAGAGUACAAAAACAUAAAAACAAUACAGUUUCCAAGCACAGGUUCCUGAUACUCCUGCUGUCUGUCCUGCAUGUACCUGCUGUCUGAGAAAUGUGCAUAGCCUCAAAGUAUCCUCUUAGUAAUCUCCACCAAGAGUUCCUUUUAAUCAUCUGUAGCUAAACUAAGCAAGACUAGGUGACUUUUGCUUGCAAUCUAUUACUGAUCCAAUUUCUAAUAUGAAAAACUUUCCUCUUCCCAGGUACUUUAUUUCUGUAAUAAUCUCGCCUUUCAGAUGAGAUCCUAAUUCCUUAACUGCCAAGAUGUGGCUACAUGUAUAACCACAGCUUAUGAGAUAUUGUGUAAAUUUAAAGUUUAAAGUAAUUUACCUUCAACAACAGGAGACUUGUUUCAUUAUACUACUUUUAAUACCAUCAGAGGUAUAAAAAGAAUGAGCAUUUGGUGUUAGAACAUCCAAGUUUGAAUCCUAAAUCCAUCAUUUACUAGUUAUUUCACUCAAAGCAAAGCAGAAACUUCACAGAUUUCCAGUGUCCUCAUCUGGAAAAUGGGGAUAAUAAUGUCACCUCUGCCUGCAUCACUAUAAUAUUCUAC
Long non-coding RNA from Homo sapiens (human), 2814 nucleotides. The record is from Ensembl. NCBI's taxonomy places the organism in Eukaryota, Metazoa, Chordata, Mammalia, Primates, Hominidae.